RNAcentral lists this long non-coding RNA (327 nucleotides) under Gorilla gorilla gorilla (western lowland gorilla). RNAcentral describes it as "lncRNA (ENSGGOG00000044573.1)". The record is from RNAcentral. Lineage: Eukaryota; Metazoa; Chordata; Mammalia; Primates; Hominidae.
UUCCUCUUUCGCCACAGCACGGGUCUUCUUGUUUCCGUUUUUGUUUUUCUUUCUUAUUUUCUCUUUUAUUCCAUUGUACAAAAUAAUUUUAUAUAUGAUCUUAAAACAUUCUUCUAAACUACAAAUGCAUAAAUGUCUGUGAACAGCAUGUGCUUUUGCAGGAAGGACGUUGGACUCUUGCACUAUAAGUUAAAAACAUCGCUUAUAAACAAUACAUCGCAGCACACUUGCAGAGAGAGCACUGUAGGUGCAUGGUCCUCAGGACCUGGGAGGCACAUUGGACAUCACUUCAACAGCGUUUCUAAGGUUCAUCAAAAUAAGAUAUGA